AGGGUUUAUAUCUUUACUCUUGCCACCCGCUCUGAUAAGGCGGGGGUCAGUGGUUCAAGUCCACUUAGCCCUACCA
Molecule: transfer RNA, 76 nt
Filed under: Christensenellaceae bacterium
Lineage: Bacteria; Bacillati; Bacillota; Clostridia; Christensenellales; Christensenellaceae
Description: tRNA-OTHER
Rfam family: tRNA
About the family: Transfer RNA (tRNA) molecules are approximately 80 nucleotides in length.
Source: RNAcentral